UACGUAGGAUGCGAGCGUUGUCCGGAAUUAUUGGGCGUAAAGAGUAUGUAGGCGGUUGCGCAAGUUUGGUGUGAAAUCUCCCGGCUUAACUGGGAGGGUGCGUCGAAAACUGCGCGGCUAGAGUGCGGGAGAGGAGAGCGGAAUUCCUGGUGUAGCGGUGAAAUGCGUAGAUAUCAGGAGGAACACCGGCGGUGUAGACGGCUCUCUGGACCGCGACUGACGCUGAGAUACGAAAGCGUGGGGAGCAAACAGG
Molecule: ribosomal RNA, 253 nt
Filed under: uncultured bacterium
Lineage: Bacteria
Description: partial 16S ribosomal RNA
Rfam family: Bacterial small subunit ribosomal RNA
Source: RNAcentral